This 203-nucleotide long non-coding RNA is filed under the name Mytilus galloprovincialis (Mediterranean mussel). Lineage: Eukaryota; Metazoa; Mollusca; Bivalvia; Mytilida; Mytilidae. The record is from RNAcentral.
AGAUGACAUUUGUCUGCCUAGGAGAAGUCACUGGUCAGAAGAAUGACAACAAUGUCAAUAUUUAAUCAGGAAAUUCUUUAAAAUCUUUAAUUUAUAUGUAAAUAUUUCAAAGAUAACACUUUUAUUUAUUCACAUAUUUAAAUAAAAGGAGAUUUAUUGUAUACCAAAGAUACAGCACCCAAAAAACUAUGAAAAAUAACCAC